RNAcentral lists this ribosomal RNA (497 nucleotides) under uncultured bacterium. Its description in RNAcentral is "partial 16S ribosomal RNA". It matches the Rfam family "Bacterial small subunit ribosomal RNA", at positions 28 to 507 of the family's 1533-position model. The record is from RNAcentral.
GAUGAACGCUGGCGGCGUGCCUAAUACAUGCAAGUCGAGCGAACGGACGAGAAGCUUGCUUCUCUGAUGUUAGCGGCGGAAGGGUGAGUAACACGUGGAUAACCUACCUAUAUGACUGGGAUAACUUCGGGAAACCGGAGCUAAUACCGGAUAAUAUUUUGAACCGCAUGGUUCAAAAGUGAAAGACGGUCUUGCUGUCACUUAUAGAUGGAUCCGCGCUGCAUUAGCUAGUUGGUAAGGUAACGGCUUACCAAGGCAACGAUGCAUAGCCGACCUGAGAGGGGGAUCGGCCACACUGGAACUGAGACACGGCCCAGACUCCUAGGGGAGGCAGCAGUAGGGAAUCUUCCGCAAUGGGCGAAAGCCUGACGGAGCAACGCCGCGUGAGUGAUGAAGGUCUUCGGAUCGUAAAACUCUGUUAUUAGGGAAGAACAUAUGUGUAAGUAACUGUGCACAUCUUGACGGUACCUAAUCAGAAAGCCACGGCUAACUACGUG